Molecule: ribosomal RNA, 406 nt
Filed under: uncultured bacterium
Lineage: Bacteria
Description: partial 16S ribosomal RNA
Rfam family: Bacterial small subunit ribosomal RNA
Source: RNAcentral
AUCGAACGCUGGCGGCAGGCCUAAUACAUGCAAGUCGAACGAGUGGCGGACGGGUAAGUAAUGUUUGGGAAUCUGCCUGAUGGAGGGUGCUAACUACUGGAAAUGGUAGCUAAUAACGAAUACUACCGGUUCUUCCCUGAUGGGAUUAGCUAGUAGGUGGGGUAAAGUCUCACCUAGGCGACGAUCCCUAGCUGGUCUGAGAGGAUGACCAGCCACACGGGAACUGAGACACGGUCCAGACUCCUACGGGAGGCAGCAGUGGGGAAUAUUGCACAAGGGGCGCAAGCCUGAUGCAGACAGGCCGCUUGUAUGAAGAAGGCCUUCGGGUUGUAAAGUACUUUCAGCGGGGAGGCGUUACUCGCAGAAAAAGCACCGGCUAACUCCGUGCCAGCAGCCGCGGUAAUUC